RNAcentral lists this transfer RNA (75 nucleotides) under Comamonas aquatica. RNAcentral describes it as "tRNA-Arg". It matches the Rfam family "tRNA". Rfam says of the family: Transfer RNA (tRNA) molecules are approximately 80 nucleotides in length. Their secondary structure includes four short double-helical elements and three loops (D, anti-codon, and T loops). Lineage: Bacteria; Pseudomonadati; Pseudomonadota; Betaproteobacteria; Burkholderiales; Comamonadaceae. The record is from RNAcentral.
AUCCCGGUAGUUCAAUGGAUAGAACACAGACCUCCUAAGUCUGGGAUAGUGGUUCAAUUCCACUCCGGGAUACCA